Molecule: long non-coding RNA, 1314 nt
Organism: Spinacia oleracea (spinach)
Lineage: Eukaryota; Viridiplantae; Streptophyta; Magnoliopsida; Caryophyllales; Amaranthaceae
Exons: 4
Source: RefSeq, a predicted model, not a curated record
GUCCUUACCAAAAAUUAAAAACUCUCCCCCAACCUAAACCCUCGAUCGCGAAAAAACCUCCAUCACCGAAAACCCACGAAAUACUCCAGCAAUUGAAACCCGGCCUCCAUUAGCAAAAACCUCCACCUACAAAAUACUCAAGAAAUUGAAACCCGACCUCCAUCAACAAAUUGAGGACGAAAUUUCAACGAAAGUUGCAGACACAAUUGGCACCGCACGAAGCCGUCGACGAACCCUUCCAAAACCGUCUUCGGCAGGAGCAAUGUUGUCACUGGUGUUGCGAAAGCAAUCAAGGACCAUUUUAAGAAAUAUCCUCUAGCUAUUGUCAAUGUCAAGGGGAGAGCUAAAGGGACCUCUGUUCAGGAGGUGGUUUUAAAAUUGGAAGAAGAAAUAGGCGGAGUUUUGGUAUCCCAGGAGCCAAGCAAAGUUAUUCUUUACAGAGGUUGGGGUGGUGGAGUGGAAACUGGCCAUGCUUCUAAUAAGGAGAAUCAUGAUAAACGAGCUGGUAUACCUUCAUUAGCUGUUGUCUCUCCAGAGAUGUUGGCAGCAAUGAGGCUUGAAUGUGGAUUGUCAAGCAGCUAAACAGAGAAGACAGAGCUUUAGCCUAGGUUUGGUACUUUGGUGUGAUUGUGGUGGCUUAAUCUGGAUUAGCUAUUGUCAAUUACACCAUAUUUUGUACUCUUUUGAAGUGCCUCCUAGACAUCAUUGGUCAAGAAAUUUCUUGCAAGAUUUUGGAGAAAGCAAGGAUUUCUUAUCUAUUCCGUAUGAGGUUUUGGCAGCUAUACAAACACAAGGAGAAACUGGAAAGAACUGGUUUCAAAUAACAGGUUUUAUAUGGCUGUUUGAGGCAGGGGUAGAUCAUUUUCUAGUUCUUUUACUUCUGCUUGGGAACCUAUAAAAUAAAAAGUAUUGGACUGUGAGAGAAGGGUAUGUGCUGAAUUUUUGUAAUAUAUACAGGAUGCGAGAAAUAAGAAUAUCGAGAAUGUCCUGAUAUUGUCUGGUGAUGAGCUCUACAGAAUGGACUAUGGAUCUUGUGCAAGUAUUGGAUAAAAUUCUUCUUGAUUUGAAUUAAUGUAAAUAUGUAAUUUUGGUCACCACAUAAAGAUCUUAACUAUCUUCGCUUGAAUCACUUGCAGAAUCACGUUAGUUUCUUGUGUUCUUGUGGGUGAGAGGUAUGCUUCCACAGUUCCACAAAGACACUUCUAUCAUUGUUGUUUAUUUUCUUUAUCCAUAUAUUUACAUAAGUUUCCUGCUUGUAUUUGGCUUCAUUUACACCUUAUACCAGCCAAGAUAGACAGCAAAAACCUAAGGGCC